This 121-nucleotide small nuclear RNA is filed under the name Moschus moschiferus (Siberian musk deer). RNAcentral's name for it is "U2 spliceosomal RNA (ENSMMSG00000012269.1)". It matches the Rfam family "U2 spliceosomal RNA". Rfam says of the family: U2 is a small nuclear RNA (snRNA) component of the spliceosome (involved in pre-mRNA splicing). Complementary binding between U2 snRNA (in an area lying towards the 5' end but 3' to hairpin I) and the branchpoint sequence (BPS) of the intron results the bulging out of an unpaired adenosine, on the BPS, which initiates a nucleophilic attack at the intronic 5' splice site, thus starting the first of two transesterification reactions that mediate splicing. The record is from Rfam by way of RNAcentral. Lineage: Eukaryota; Metazoa; Chordata; Mammalia; Artiodactyla; Moschidae.
AUCGCUUCUCGGCCUUUUGGCUAAGAUCAAGUGUAGUAUCUGUUCUUAUCAGUUUAAAACUUGACAUAAUUUUAAAAGGAAUAUCUAAUGAAGAAAAGGUUUUGUGCCUUGUCCACCACUU